Molecule: small RNA, 360 nt
Filed under: Arabidopsis thaliana (thale cress)
Lineage: Eukaryota; Viridiplantae; Streptophyta; Magnoliopsida; Brassicales; Brassicaceae
Description: ATSL296310
Source: RNAcentral
GGAUGGAGCUAGAGUUGAAGGAAUUCUAGCCACGUCCAGAGCCAUAGGUAUACCUUUCUCAAUUCUCAUAUUGUAGUAAAAGAUGAUUUUAGUUGAUAGUGUUGAAGAUGGCAAGGAACUAGAGCCUAUAAGGGCAAUAAUAAUCAUUUCGGAUUUGGGGUUUAGGGUUUUAAGUUUACUAACUAAGGUACUAUGGAUUGGUUUCAUUUGGUGCGAGUUCUUUUGUUGAUUAAUUCUAAUUCUAUUUUCAAAGAUGUUUUAUAAUUGUUCCUUUAAAAAAAAAAUAUGUAAAUUUUACUCUCUUUUUUUUGUCAAAAUGUUAACUAGAAAUUUUACAUUGGUCCUAAUAGUUUAACAUUU